This 455-nucleotide ribosomal RNA is filed under the name uncultured bacterium. RNAcentral describes it as "bacterial SSU rRNA". It matches the Rfam family "Bacterial small subunit ribosomal RNA", at positions 30 to 484 of the family's 1533-position model. The record is from RNAcentral.
AUUGAACGCUGGCGGCAUGCCUUACACAUGCAAGUCGAACGGUAACGGGCCUUCGGGUGCCGACGAGUGGCGAACGGGUGAGUAAUGCAUCGGAACGUACCUUUCAGUGGGGGAUAACGUAGCGAAAGUUACGCUAAUACCGCAUAUUCUGUGAGCAGGAAAGCAGGGGAUCGCAAGACCUUGCGCUGAUUGAGCGGCCGAUGUCAGAUUAGCUAGUUGGUGAGGUAAAGGCUCACCAAGGCGACGAUCUGUAGCGGGUCUGAGAGGAUGAUCCGCCACACUGGAACUGAGACACGGUCCAGACUCCUACGGGAGGCAGCAGUGGGGAAUUUUGGGACAAUGGGGGCAACCCUGAUCCAGCCAUGCCGCGUGAGUGAAGAAGGCCUCGGGUUGUAAAGGACUCUUUCGGUCCGGGAACGGAAAGUACGUAUGGGCGUAAUACCCUGUGCGGAUGA